GAUAAACGCUGGCGGCGUGCUUAACACAUGCAAGUCGAACGAAGUUUUUCCUUCGGGAGACACUUAGUGGCGGACGGGUGAGUAACGCGUGGGUAACCUGCCCUGUACAGGGGGACAACAGCUGGAAACGGCUGCUAAUACCGCAUAAGCCCUUAGCACUGCAUGGUGCAUAGGGAAAAGGAGCAAUCCGGUACAGGAUGGACCCGCGUCUGAUUAGCCAGUUGGCAGGGUAACGGCCUACCAAAGCGACGAUCAGUAGCCGAUCUGAGAGGAUGUACGGCCACAUUGGGACUGAGACACGGCCCAGACUCCUACGGGAGGCAGCAGUGGGGAAUAUUGCACAAUGGAGGAAACUCUGAUGCAGCGACGCCGCGUGAGUGAAGAAGUAUUUCGGUAUGUAAAGCUCUAUAAGCAGGGAAGAAAAUGACGGUACCUGACGAAGAAGCACCGGCUAAAUACGUG
RNAcentral lists this ribosomal RNA (462 nucleotides) under uncultured bacterium. Its description in RNAcentral is "partial 16S ribosomal RNA". It matches the Rfam family "Bacterial small subunit ribosomal RNA", at positions 28 to 507 of the family's 1533-position model. The record is from RNAcentral.